RNAcentral lists this long non-coding RNA (1019 nucleotides) under Medicago truncatula (barrel medic). RNAcentral describes it as "long non-coding RNA (MTRU_LNC003963)". The record is from RNAcentral. Lineage: Eukaryota; Viridiplantae; Streptophyta; Magnoliopsida; Fabales; Fabaceae.
GAGAGUUGCUCGUUGAGAUUUUGUUGGGUAAAUACUCAAGCCAACCCCAAUUUUUGUUUCUGUUCAUGGGUUCUAGAUUGAGUCCUUGCAUAUCACACAUAGAAGUUGAUUUGGGAGCUGUAAACUUGAAGAAAGCUUGAGAAAGGUUAAUACAUGAAUGUCAAAGCUAGAAUAGAGGUUUAGAGACAAAAUUUCGUUCAUUUAGAAGAGGUUAGGAGAAUGGAGGUGUUGCUGUACUUUCUUCAUAAUGGGUGUUGUUUCUUCAUCUCUAGAAACCAACAAAACUGUUUUGAUUUCUCAACAAACACUAGAGCUGAUAGUUGUUGUUUUCAUUGCUGCUUCGGGAGUUCUGACAAAGCAAAUUUGGUUGAUUCGCCAUAACUGUGAGUUGAUAACGAUCAUUAUCGCAUAUUUUCCCUAUUAAUAUUAUUGAUAUUUUGAUAAUUUUAUAUGUUAAAGUGUUUAUAAAAAUGGGGAACACACCCUUUGAACUUUUUCUCCUCAAUGAUGCUCAUGUUUAAAGUCAUCGAUAUUAUUAUGGUCUUUGUUUGAAUUUAUCUAUGAUUUGUUGGGCCAAUGGUUGAAAUUGAGAUUUGGUUGCAUAUAUUAUGACAUGUGUUUUGGAGAUAUGGGAAAUACGGUUUGAAAAAUAUGUUUUUGAAAACUUUCGAUAUUAAUAUGCGCUCUAUUUGGAUUUGGAUUUUACUUGCGAUUUAUAAAGUAGAGGGAUUGAAAUGGAGAAUUUGAUUGUAUGUAUUUUCAUAGUAGUUUUGAUAUGUUGUGAAACGUGGUUUUGAAAUAUGCGUCUUUGAAAGGAUUCAAUAUUAAUUUGUACGCGAUUUGGAUUUAGAUUUGAAUUUGGAUUUACUUAUGAUUAUAAGUAGUGGAUUUUCGAUUGAGUUUUGAUGAUACGUAUUUUGAAAUAAGUUUUGUUAUGUUGUGAAAUAUGGUUUUAGCAUUGUGUUUUAAGAAUGGUGUUUUGAAAAUUAUGGUUAUAAUGACGACGACCUAGGUGCACC